CUCCGUCGCUGUUGCGUGGCUUGCCCCGCGGAGCGGGCAGGGGACCCGCCGACGCUGACGUUAUGCCGAACACGCAUUUAAUCUCUCGUCCGCAUGGAACUACGCCGAUCAACCCGCUCGAUGCUCCCGAUCAAACCCUGAUUCCUCCAUUCAAACGACGGAAGAGAGUGUCCGCGUUGGGUGGUCUCCUUGAGUUUCGCUUGUUUGCUGGCGACUGGACGCCAGUCGGGUCCUCGAUUAUUUCCCUUGAUGCGGCUGCGAUGGGAGCAGAGCAUAGCAAUCAGGGACGCCGCCCACACUUUCCAUGAAAAAAGAUGCAGAAGGUCGUACACUGAUGCGGUUGGAGACGGGUGGCGUGUCCCAGACUAGCAACGGAUGGCUGGAGUGAUUGUGAUCUUACCACAAUAAAAUUGAGGUUUAUCAAGUGUUGAGUGAAACAGGUGAGCGCUGAGCAUGGUCAGCUCCUGGCGUCGUGAACUCUCAUCCUCGGGACGGCCCCUGAAUCCGGCGAGACGUCCAUGGGAAGCCCCUGCUCCUCGGCGUUCAGAUGGAGAUCCCAUCCACCGCAGUUCUUCAA
RNAcentral lists this long non-coding RNA (577 nucleotides) under Spirodela polyrhiza (greater duckweed). Its description in RNAcentral is "long non-coding RNA (SPOL_LNC001965)". Lineage: Eukaryota; Viridiplantae; Streptophyta; Magnoliopsida; Alismatales; Araceae. The record is from RNAcentral.